UCCCAUAGCGGGAUUCGAACCCGGAUAAGCCAACUUGCCGGGCGAGCACUUUACCACUUUGCCACAAUGGA
Molecule: non-coding RNA, 71 nt
Organism: Oesophagostomum dentatum (nodular worm)
Lineage: Eukaryota; Metazoa; Nematoda; Chromadorea; Rhabditida; Strongylidae
Source: the annotation of a GenBank genome assembly